RNAcentral lists this ribosomal RNA (254 nucleotides) under uncultured bacterium. RNAcentral's name for it is "partial 16S ribosomal RNA". It matches the Rfam family "Bacterial small subunit ribosomal RNA", at positions 524 to 777 of the family's 1533-position model. The record is from RNAcentral.
UACAGAGGGUGCAAGCGUUAAUCGGAUUUACUGGGCGUAAAGCGUGCGUAGGUGGUGAGUUAAGUCUGUCGUGAAAGCCCCGGGCUCAACCUGGGAAUGGCGAUGGAUACUGGCUCGCUAGAGUGCGGUAGAGGAGAGUGGAAUUCCCGGUGUAGCAGUGAAAUGCGUAGAGAUCGGGAGGAACAUCAGUUGCGAAGGCGGCUCUCUGGACCAGCACUGACACUGAGGCACGAAAGCGUGGGGAGCGAACGGGG